CACGUAGUUAGCCGUGGCUUUCUAAUAAGGUACCGUCAAGGUACGGGCAGUUACUCCCGUACGUGUUCUUCCCUUACAACAGAGCUUUACGAUCCGAAAACCUUCUUCGCUCACGCGGCAUUGCUCCAUCAGACUUUCGUCCAUUGUGGAAGAUUCCCUACUGCUGCCUCCCGUAGGAGUCUGGGCCGUGUCUCAGUCCCAGUGUGGCCGAUCACCCUCUCAGGUCGGCUACGCAUCGUCGCCUUGGUAGGCCGUUACCCCACCAACUAGCUAAUGCGCCGCGGGCCCAUCCUACAGUGACAGCGAGACGCCGUCUUUCAGAGUUGGUUCAUCGCGAACCAACUGAUUAUUCGGUAUUACGGUCCCCGGUUUCCCGGAGUUACUCCCCAUCCUGGUACGGGCUACGGUUCGCCCGACGUUGUUACCUCCG
This 430-nucleotide ribosomal RNA is filed under the name uncultured Sporosarcina sp. Its description in RNAcentral is "partial 16S ribosomal RNA". Lineage: Bacteria; Bacillati; Bacillota; Bacilli; Caryophanales; Caryophanaceae. The record is from RNAcentral.